AGGAUUAUAAUUUAAUUAAAAUAUUUGAUUUGCAGUCAAAAAAAAUAGGAAAUCUAUUUAUCUUA
Molecule: transfer RNA, 65 nt
Filed under: Lepidostoma longipilosum
Lineage: Eukaryota; Metazoa; Arthropoda; Insecta; Trichoptera; Lepidostomatidae
Description: tRNA-Ala
Source: RNAcentral